UAGGGGCCCAAGAGCCACUGGUACUCGGUGUCUGGGUGGCGGCAGGGGGGAUUUUUGUUCUUCCAGCACCUGCGGCUGUUGAGACCAGAGCACUUGGUGGUUGACCACAGGCUGGGGUAUUAGUUCACCCCUAGCUUCUCCCCAGCGAGAACUCAGGGCCUUUGGGCACAGGGGAUUAAGCUUCAAUCUGCUUAUGUGCAAGGGGAAGAAAUAGGCCCAUAGAGCAACAGUGGCGGGUCUACAGUCACACAGCCAACUUGUGCUUGUGGCAGUGGCAAGGUUGGUGAGUAUCUGAGUCUUCAGGCCAUGGUGUUUUCCCCUCGAGUGGAGCCUGAAGUUCUGAGGGUACCCCUCACUCAAGCUCCAGGCGUCAGGAAAAGAACAUUCCACGAGUCCAUCUAGAAGACGGUCCUUUCCCUGGUGCCGCCGGCUUCUAGAACAUUCCCUGGAACACAGCAAGUGUUCAGUUAUUGUUCAUGG
Molecule: long non-coding RNA, 480 nt
Filed under: Pongo abelii (Sumatran orangutan)
Lineage: Eukaryota; Metazoa; Chordata; Mammalia; Primates; Hominidae
Description: lincRNA
Source: RNAcentral